This 100-nucleotide transfer RNA is filed under the name Planctomycetota bacterium. Its description in RNAcentral is "Planctomycetes bacterium (activated sludge metagenome) tRNA-Ser". It matches the Rfam family "tRNA". Rfam says of the family: Transfer RNA (tRNA) molecules are approximately 80 nucleotides in length. Lineage: Bacteria; Pseudomonadati; Planctomycetota. The record is from RNAcentral.
GGUGGGAUGGCUGAGUGGCCGAAAGCACCGGUUUUGAAAACCGGAUAGCGGGGAAGAACGCCCGACCUCUGACGAGGUCGAGAAUCCCGACACGCCGCCA